RNAcentral lists this transfer RNA (65 nucleotides) under Hylobius abietis (large pine weevil). RNAcentral's name for it is "tRNA-Leu". The record is from RNAcentral. Lineage: Eukaryota; Metazoa; Arthropoda; Insecta; Coleoptera; Curculionidae. RNAcentral also lists the same sequence under 1 other name.
GUUAUUUUGGCAGAAUAGUGCAAUAAAUUUAGAAUUUAUUUAUGUAAAUUAGUUUACAAAUAAUA